GGCCGAAGUCGGCCAGAGAUUUGUAAGCGCCAAAACGGCUUGCAAAGCCGUCUAGACGGGUUCGACUCCCGUCCUCGCCUCCA
Molecule: transfer RNA, 83 nt
Filed under: Telluria mixta
Lineage: Bacteria; Pseudomonadati; Pseudomonadota; Betaproteobacteria; Burkholderiales; Oxalobacteraceae
Description: tRNA-Ser
Rfam family: tRNA (bases 11-80)
About the family: Transfer RNA (tRNA) molecules are approximately 80 nucleotides in length. Their secondary structure includes four short double-helical elements and three loops (D, anti-codon, and T loops). Further hydrogen bonds mediate the characteristic L-shaped molecular structure. tRNAs have two regions of fundamental functional importance: the anti-codon, which is responsible for specific mRNA codon recognition, and the 3' end, to which the tRNAs corresponding amino acid is attached (by aminoacyl-tRNA synthetases). tRNAs cope with the degeneracy of the genetic code in two manners: having more than one tRNA (with a specific anti-codon) for a particular amino acid; and 'wobble' base-pairing, i.e. permitting non-standard base-pairing at the 3rd anti-codon position.
Source: RNAcentral